AUAUCGCUAUAAAAUUUUCCAGAGCCCCAUGGCUCACCGCACCUGUGCGGGGUCCAGUUCCUGCUGUGAACCUCUGGCUUCCACAUCCGAUGCCUGAGGGAUGCAGCUGUGGGGACUGCAAGUAGUUCCAGAGCCAUCAGAGAAGCCAGCCGGCUGACCGGCCUCCCGCGUCGUCCCGUUGCCAUGGUAAUGCCCCAGUGCAGCACCAGGAAUAGAUGGCUUUUGAAGGGAGUGCUGCCGGAUGCUGUGCAUCGAGGCGAGGUGGGCCAGGACGGAGUUCAAGCUGAG
RNAcentral lists this long non-coding RNA (288 nucleotides) under Felis catus (domestic cat). RNAcentral's name for it is "lncRNA (ENSFCAG00000050717.1)". Lineage: Eukaryota; Metazoa; Chordata; Mammalia; Carnivora; Felidae. The record is from RNAcentral.